UUUUAAUUUAUCUCCCUUUUCCGAAAAUAUCCCAAUUAGUCACUUGAUGAAUUGGAAAACUCUUUGUUAUUGCUGGUAAUGAUAAAAAGGCUUUUCUGUGGUGCACCGAAUCUUUUGACCUGAAAUCUAGGCUUGAAGAGCACACUAAUUUGAUAACUGAUGUUAGAUUUUGUCCAUGUUGCAUUUUGCUACUAACUAAGCGACAACAACUGUGAUGUCAAUAGACUUUCACCCAAGUAAAAACAACCUUAUUUUCUCUUGUGAUAAAGAGGAUAUAAGAUGUUGGAGUAUAGAAAAUGGUAGUUGUGAUGUAGUUUUCAAGGUAUGAAAAUCUCACAAAUAUGGUGAAUAAGAUCUCAAUGUUUAGGUUAAUUAACAAUCAGAUGCAUGUUAUAGUUUCUCAUAUGUUCCGAGAAGGCAACACUUGUGCUAUAUUUUAGUCUGGUACAAUAUCUCUCAUCAUGGUUUUCACUGCUGGUAUGUUCUUCCUUAUUGGAUUAAGUUAGAUUACUUUAGGCAUAGAGUUUCUCUUCGUAAUUACAGAUUCAAAGGAUUGUAAUUUGUUUGAGGUUUUUACUGCACUUUUUUCCUUUUACCAUGGUUUUAUCCCAAUGAAUCUUCUUGAUAAGAUUUUUAACGAGACAAUUGUUCAGUGUUUCAA
This is a long non-coding RNA of Cicer arietinum (chickpea), 661 nucleotides long. RefSeq lists it as uncharacterized. NCBI's taxonomy places the organism in Eukaryota, Viridiplantae, Streptophyta, Magnoliopsida, Fabales, Fabaceae. The record is from RefSeq and is a predicted model, not a curated record.